GGCAUGGUUUCUCCCUAAUGAAAACUAUGGCAUUUCUUUGCGAUCUCUUUAUUUUGCAGGUGUCUUUACUUUAACUUUCUUAAACAUAGCUUAAUGCUAAAUGCUAAAGUGGAUUUAUGCUGGAUAUAAAGAGCUCUCCUUUAAAACAAUUUAUUGUGGAUUCCCAUUGUGUAGCAAAUUAGGCUAUGCAUGAGUGCAUUACUAGGCCAGCCACAGAUCUAGGCACUAGGAGGAUGUCAAAGACAAGACUGAUUACUACCCCUCAUGGAAACUAGCAAUCUAAUUAGAAGGCUUUUCCAAUCUUCCAACAGAAGCCACCUCUUACUUAGCAGUCCACCACUCUGGGGUCUUGAUCAAUGCUUUCUAACCCUUGGAGCACCAGUCAGUGCACAGAAGCAGCCAUCUCUUCGAUGGCACCCUGAGGCCUGGAAGAACUUCUACAGAUCUCCAACCAUGGAAGCUGCAAAUGGAGAGCAUUGUUUGAACUGGAUCAGCGUAACUGAGCCAGGCCUGGACUCCACCUGUUUACUGCGGUAUUAAAUGUGACUAAACAAGCUAAAAAUUUAUGGAGAAC
This 574-nucleotide long non-coding RNA is filed under the name Fukomys damarensis (Damara mole-rat). RNAcentral describes it as "lncRNA (ENSFDAG00000029550.1)". The record is from RNAcentral. Lineage: Eukaryota; Metazoa; Chordata; Mammalia; Rodentia; Bathyergidae.